GUCUUAUUGAAUAAUAAUUUUAAGUCAAUCUGCCCAAUGAAUAAUAAUUUAAAUGGCUGCAGUAUACUGACUGUACAAAGGUAGCAUAAUCAAUUGAUUUUUAAAUGGAAUCUGGAAUGAAAGGAUUAAUGAAAUAUAUACUGUCUCAUAUUUAUUUUAUAAAUUUAAAAUUUUAAUAAAAAUGUUAAAAUUUUUUUAUGGGACGAUAAGACCCUAUAGAAUUUUAUAUUAAUUUAAUUUUGUAUUUAACUAUAAAAUUUAAUUUAAUAUUUAGUUGGGAGAAUUAUUAAAUUUAAUAAAUUUUAAUUAAGAAAAACUUUAAUUAAAGAAAAAAUCUUGAUCUUUAAUUUAAAAUUAAUAGAAUAAAUUACCUUAGGGAUAACAGCGUUAUAUUUUUUUAUAGAUCGUAUAGAAAAAAAUGAUUGCGACCUCGAUGUUGAAUUAAGAUAAAUUUUAAAUGUAGAAAUUUAAUAAUUAAGUCUGUUCGACUUUUAAAAUCUUACAUGAUUUGAGUUCAAAUCGACGUAAGU
RNAcentral lists this ribosomal RNA (530 nucleotides) under Nannotrigona melanocera. Its description in RNAcentral is "partial 16S large subunit ribosomal RNA". The stretch from base 378 to 530 matches the Rfam family "Bacterial large subunit ribosomal RNA", at positions 2473 to 2626 of the family's 2925-position model. The record is from RNAcentral. Lineage: Eukaryota; Metazoa; Arthropoda; Insecta; Hymenoptera; Apidae.